CCUAAACCCAAAUAUAAACUUUAAACCCAAUUAUCAAAAUCUGAAAAUAGUAUAUAAUAUUAUGUAAUAUUAAACUUAAUCCAAACAAAACUCCUCAAUGCUGAAUUCAGACCUAACUUUUGAAUACUAAAGCCAAAAAUGCUAUCACUAAUCCCUAGAUCCUAAUCACUAAAUCCUAAACCCAAAUAUAAACUCUAAACCCAAAUAGAAUGGAACAAAAUACAUAGUAUUACAAAUUGGUGAGCAAAAAAGAACACUCUUUAUUAAUCGUCAAAUGAAACAUACAUAAUACGGUCACUAAACCCAAACCUCAACCCCCACCUUCCAAAUACUAAACCCUAAAUCCUAAUCAAUAAACCCUAAACCGAAAUAUAGACUCUAAACCCAAAUAGAAUGGAACAAAAUACAUAGUAUAGUACAAAC
RNAcentral lists this long non-coding RNA (423 nucleotides) under Brassica napus (rape). RNAcentral's name for it is "long non-coding RNA (BNAP_LNC006785)". Lineage: Eukaryota; Viridiplantae; Streptophyta; Magnoliopsida; Brassicales; Brassicaceae. The record is from RNAcentral.